RNAcentral lists this long non-coding RNA (1634 nucleotides) under Eutrema salsugineum. Its description in RNAcentral is "long non-coding RNA (ESAL_LNC002152)". The record is from RNAcentral. Lineage: Eukaryota; Viridiplantae; Streptophyta; Magnoliopsida; Brassicales; Brassicaceae.
AGGAUUCGAUUAUUUUAAGCCUGGACCCCAAUUUCGGAUGGAUGAUCCAGAUUUUGGAUAGAUUACUCGAAUAAGACUGGCUGGAUUGGUAAAUUACAAAAUAUUUUAAGGGUGUAAAUGUAUUUGAACUUUUUUUCGACUUAGAAAAAAUCAUAUGCACUUCACUUUCUUUUUAAACGGGUUAUUGAGAAUUUAGGUCAUCAGAAUCCGAGAACUUAAUUCGCAAUGUUCUUCUGCAGAAAGCUCUGAUCCAGAAUUAGAAAGCCCUGAGGAUCGAGGGACAAAUCGACAAACUAAUUAUAAGUCUCUUAUCUUGGUCAAUAUUUACCAUUUUGUUUUGUAUGUGGUUGUCUUUGUUGUGGGAUUCUUUAACUUUCCGUAGAUUUAAUGGUUUUUUGUAGAGUUCUCUCUAUAUUUGAAGUUAGAUUUUGUUGUAAUGGAAUUUUGAUUGGCAUUGUGAAUUUUUUGUGCAGAAAGCUCGGAUCACGAUUUAGCUUUCACGAAUUUAGAUCGAAGAACAAAUGUAAGUUUCUUCAUCUUUGGUCAAUCUUUCUCAAAAUCGAAGAUCUGCUCCAUAUUUGGUUUACUUUAUUCUGGUUUUCUUGGGUUUUUCUCUGUUUUACGAGUUCCACAUAUUUAACAAUAGUAGAUUCUGGUUACAAUUGAUGUUGAGUUAAAUAACUUGCAAAGUUUUUUCUCUGAAUUUAGUAGUUUUUUUUUUGCUAUUGUUAUGUAUCUCUUUAGAUUUGGAGUCAAACAAUAAAAAAAUUUCUGGUUGUUCUGAUUAGUGUUGUGGUUUUGUUCUGUGCAAUUGUUACUGUAAUUAUCGGUGAAAUAUGGUUUUGAACAACAAUCAUAGUUUGGGAGUUGCAGCUCUCAUCAAUUAUAUACAGGCAAACAACAAAGCAACUGUCGAUGUAGUUGGUAACUCAAGUAACCCAGAAGCUAAACUCAAUGGUUCGCAUAUCAGUAUGGCUGUGGAGGCUAUGAGGUUUGAUUUCACGCGUGAGGGAACUGCCCACUUGUUGGAAGAACAUUCUAAAGAUAAGGAUGUAAUCGGGACAGACCCACUUCUACGAAUGCAAAGGAUAAGACACAAGAUUAGUUGAUCAUAACAAACACAGAAGCCCAACAAGAAGAAGGUGCUAUGGGCCGUCCAAGUGUGAAGCCUACUACGAUGACAAACUCUUCCUAGCUGAAACUAUCCAGCUGUUACCACUAAUGUGCAGCGGUAACUGAGAAAAAAUGACAAAACGCGAAUCCAGUCAAGCUGAACUUCGUACGGGAAAUACACCUCACUGAAUCUUGUUAUGUAACAGAUUUGAUGUCUCGGAUUGUGAGCUCUCAUGUGACAGACAUGAUGCUUGUCACUCCGAUCCUCACCUUUUGCUUUUCUGCUUUUCUCAUUUCUUCUCCGUAUAACCAUUGUAAUGCGCUGGGUUUAAGUUUAAGUAAUAAGGUUGAAUAAAGUUAUUUUCUUCCUUUUGUUUUUCAAACGCUUCCAUGGUAUCAGAGUCUCACGGUUCAAAGAAUUCACAAUGCCAAUCAAAAUUCCACCUAUACUAAAUUCGUGAAUGGUGAAUUUCCCGUACGAAGACCAGCUUGAAUUCCUGUGACUGGAGAUGAAACAGGGG